Molecule: unclassified non-coding RNA, 643 nt
Filed under: Helichrysum felinum
Lineage: Eukaryota; Viridiplantae; Streptophyta; Magnoliopsida; Asterales; Asteraceae
Description: partial external transcribed spacer
Source: RNAcentral
GUGAUGACAUUCGUCUUGAGGUGAUGCGGUGUCAUUUUUCCUGUGUAUCCUGGUUUUGAUCUGUUUGGGCUAAAACAUGUGGAUUAGCGGUUGGUGAUAUGGCAUCGCUCCCUUGGUUGAUGAAAGUCGUCCAAUGUUGCUGUGCUUUAUUUGUUUUCUUCUCGCAUCGCUCGGUGCAUUCUGGGGUCAUUUUGGCUAUUGGCAGCUCGCUUGGUAAUUAAGCUUGGUGGGUUGCUACUGGUUGGGUGUCUUCGGGGAUGUCUACCGUAAAGGUGCAUGAGUGGUGUUUGGUUUGUUACGGGUGGUUGGCUCUUUGCUUGCGCAACAACUUCUACCCGGCAUACCUCUUCAGUCUUGUGUCAAUGCUUGUAUAGCACUGAAUGCACGGUGGGUUUCUUGUGUUGCAUUCCUAAUUAAUGGUAUCGUUUGAUGAAUUGGCUCUCCAUUUGUCUUGCGUCGCCUAUGCGAUGUGAGAUGAACCUUGAAGUAACCUUUGUGAUCCACUCUUCUGAUGCAUAUGCAUUGAUUUUGUGGCCCAUUGAGUGUUGCUUGGUCUCAUGGAUAUGGAACCUGUUGUGGGCAUGGAAUCCUUAAUGGUUCCCUGUUUGCCCAUGUUUAGCUUUUCUAAAACGAGUGUCUAUCA